AACGAACGCUGGCGGCGCGUCUUAAGCAUGCAAGUCGAACGGCAAGAUUUUGUAGCUUGCUACAAAAUCCUAGAGUGGCGGACUGGUGAGUAACACGUGGAUGACGUACCUUUCAGAUGGGGGAUAGCUACUAGAAAUAGUAGAUAAUACCGAAUACGACCACAGGGGUUAGAGACCUGUGAGGAAAGGAGCUAAGGCUCCGCUGAAAGAUUGGCCCGCGGCCCAUUAGCUAGUUGGUAGGGUAAAGGCCUACCAAGGCAAUGAUGGGUAUCCGGCCUGAGAGGGUGAUCGGACACAUUGGGACUGAGAUACGGCCCAGACUCCUACGGGAGGCAGCAGUGGGGAAUAUUGGCACAAUGGGGGAAACCCUGAAUGGCAGCAACGCCGCGUGAGUGAAGAAGUAUUUC
RNAcentral lists this ribosomal RNA (407 nucleotides) under uncultured bacterium. Its description in RNAcentral is "bacterial SSU rRNA". It matches the Rfam family "Bacterial small subunit ribosomal RNA", at positions 29 to 419 of the family's 1533-position model. The record is from RNAcentral.